Xenopus laevis (African clawed frog) is the source of this 1092-nucleotide long non-coding RNA. RefSeq lists it as uncharacterized. NCBI's taxonomy places the organism in Eukaryota, Metazoa, Chordata, Amphibia, Anura, Pipidae. The transcript has 4 exons. The record is from RefSeq and is a predicted model, not a curated record.
CAGUGCUUGACUGUAGACUCGAGGAAGUUUGUCCUAAACUCCGCCCUCCCCUCCCCGUGACUGGAGUUUAGUGUAGUGCGGGGAGGGGGGCAGUAAACAACUGAAAGCACAUGGCUCCAUUCCCCUUCUACACUGCUGCCUGGCCUGGAUUUCGUGCAUCUGAUGAACUCCACUUGUUCAGAAGAGAAGCUGGUUUUCGGUGCCAGUAGAACAUCAGAAACGCCAGGGCCAACAGCAGAACAAGGAACAGGGACGCCAAGAAAAUGGUGACACCGACAGGUACUGAGAAAUAAGCAGACAACGACAGCAGGAGAAUUCAAGAGAUACAAGUGUAUCCCUACACUUAUUGGUGGGACCCUGAAACCCCAGAACCCACAGUCUGACUCACCGUGUGAUUGGGGGACAACGUCACCAUGUGCCCAUCAGUGUAAUGUGUCUCAGUGUAGCCGGGGGCAAACAGGAGACUGAAAUACAAGGGGUGAACUGCCUUCCUUCUGAUGACACCAGUAUCUCUCCCCGGUCUGGAGUCCCCUGUAUUAAACAUAAAGAAAAAUAAAAUAACCAGUAAUAAAUCUUUUCUUUGAAAAGCACAAUGGCAUAAAUAGGAUUAAAGCCUUGGUGGCUCCCUGUAGCCCUGUAUGUUUUGUACAUCAUCCCACUCCUACAACUGAAGGGGUCGCAGGUUUCCUAUAGAAGCUCUUCUGUUUAUACAGAAACAAAUCAUUUGUAUCAGCAGCAGGUUCAGCAUUUAGUGAUCGGAUACAGUUACCAUAAUAAAAGAAAACAUCUUAUUGGUUGAUAUAUGUUACCGUCCUAAUUUUGUAGGACUGUAUUGUCCAAAUUGCUGUGCCUCCUCCCAGCUAAAAGCUAAUGAAACAAUCGGAUCUUUAUUCCUGAUCAUUUAUCUGAUCUUUCUCGCUGAAUUCUGUCCUGAGUUUCUUGCAAAAUUGUGACAAUAUACAAAGAUCACUUCAGUAUUUCUCAGUACACAAGACUUCUCAACCAACUGAUAUCUGAAUAAGGCUCAAUCUCAUACUGACUCCACAGGUCAAUAGCCUUUAAAUAUUGCCACGAAUGGCUCAGUACCUACCC